CUGAAAACACCGGUUCUCGUCCGAACACCGAAGUUAAGCAGUAUCGAGUCCGGUCAGUACUUAGAUGCAGAUCGCUUGGUCAUACCAGGGUACUGUA
Acanthosepion pharaonis is the source of this 97-nucleotide non-coding RNA. NCBI's taxonomy places the organism in Eukaryota, Metazoa, Mollusca, Cephalopoda, Sepiida, Sepiidae. The record is from the annotation of a GenBank genome assembly.